GGCGGACGGGUGAGUAACGCGUAGGAAUCUACCUAAUGGUGGGGGAUAGCCCAGGGAAACUUGGAUUAAUACCGCAUAAGUCCUAAGGGAGAAAGCGGGGGAUCUUCGGACCUCGUGCCAUUAGAUGAGCCUGCGUAAGAUUAGCUAGUUGGUGAGGUAAGAGCUCACCAAGGCGACGAUCUUUAGCUGGUCUGAGAGGAUGAUCAGCCACACUGGGACUGAGACACGGCCCAGACUCCUACGGGAGGCAGCAGUGGGGAAUAUUGGACAAUGGGGGCAACCCUGAUCCAGCCAUGCCGCGUGUGUGAAGAAGGCCUUCGGGUUGUAAAGCACUUUCAGCAGUGAGGAAAGGUUACAGAUUAAUACUCUGUAGCUGUGACGUUAACUGCAGAAGAAGGACCGGCUAACUCCGUGCCAGCAGCCGCGGUAAUACGGAGGGUCCGAGCGCUAAUCGGAAUUACUGGGCGUAAAGCGCGC
RNAcentral lists this ribosomal RNA (477 nucleotides) under uncultured Oceanospirillales bacterium. RNAcentral describes it as "bacterial SSU rRNA". It matches the Rfam family "Bacterial small subunit ribosomal RNA", at positions 97 to 570 of the family's 1533-position model. Lineage: Bacteria; Pseudomonadati; Pseudomonadota; Gammaproteobacteria; Oceanospirillales. The record is from RNAcentral.